This 66-nucleotide transfer RNA is filed under the name Fleutiauxia armata. Its description in RNAcentral is "tRNA-Ser". The record is from RNAcentral. Lineage: Eukaryota; Metazoa; Arthropoda; Insecta; Coleoptera; Chrysomelidae.
AAGAUAAGAAAUUCAAGAAUAAACUUCUAAUUUAAUUCUUAAGCAAUGAAAUUUGUUUUUAUCUUU